ACGUAGGGUGCAAGCGUUAAUCGGAAUUACUGGGCGUAAAGCGUGCGCAGGCGGUCGCACAAGACAGAUGUGAAAUCCCCGGGCUUAACCUGGGAACUGCAUUUGUGACUGUGUGGCUAGAGUACGGUAGAGGGGAGUGGAAUUCCGCGUGUAGCAGUGAAAUGCGUAGAUAUGCGGAGGAACACCGAUGGCGAAGGCAGCUCCCUGGACCUGUACUGACGCUCAUGCACGAAAGCGUGGGGAGCAAACAGGAUUAGAUACCCUAGUAGUCCACGCCCUAAACGAUGUCAACUGGUUGUUGGGAGGGAUACUUCUCAGUAACGAAGCUAACGCGUGAAGUUGACCGCCUGGGGAGUACGGCCGCAAGGUUG
Molecule: ribosomal RNA, 371 nt
Filed under: uncultured bacterium
Lineage: Bacteria
Description: bacterial SSU rRNA
Rfam family: Bacterial small subunit ribosomal RNA
Source: RNAcentral